GCGAGUGGCGAACGGGUGAGUAACGCGCGAGGAACCUGCCUCAAAGAGGGGGACAACAGUUGGAAACGACUGCUAAUACCGCAUAAGCCCACGGCUCGGCAUCGAGCAGAGGGAAAAGGAGCAAUCCGCUUUGAGAUGGCCUCGCGUCCGAUUAGCUAGUUGGUGAGGUAACGGCCCACCAAGGCAACGAUCGGUAGCCGGACUGAGAGGUUGAACGGCCACAUUGGGACUGAGACACGGCCCAGACUCCUACGGGAGGCAGCAGUGGGGAAUAUUGCACAAUGGGGGAAACCCUGAUGCAGCGACGCCGCGUGGAGGAAGAAGGUCUUCGGAUUGUAAACUCCUGUUGUUGGGGAAGAUAAUGACGGUACCCAACAAGGAAGUGACGGCUAACUACAUGCCAGCAGCCGCGGUAAAACGUAGGUCACAAGCGUUGUCCGGAAUUACUGGGUGUAAAGGGAGCGCAGGCGGGAAGAUAAGUUGGAAGUGAAAUCUAUGGGCUCAACCCAUAAACUGCUUUCAAAACUGUUUUUCUUGAGUAGUGCAGAGGUAGGCGGAAUUCCCGGUGUAGCGGUGGAAUGCGUAGAUAUCGGGAGGAACACCAGUGGCGAAGGCGGCCUACUGGGCACCAACUGACGCUGAGGCUCGAAAGUGUGGGUAGCAAACAGGAUUAGAUACCCUGGUAGUCCACACCGUAAACGAUGAUUACUAGGUGUUGGAGGAUUGACCCCUUCAGUGCCGCAGUUAACACAAUAAGUAAUCCACCUGGGGAGUA
RNAcentral lists this ribosomal RNA (775 nucleotides) under uncultured bacterium. RNAcentral describes it as "bacterial SSU rRNA". It matches the Rfam family "Bacterial small subunit ribosomal RNA", at positions 91 to 882 of the family's 1533-position model. The record is from RNAcentral.